This 301-nucleotide ribosomal RNA is filed under the name uncultured bacterium. RNAcentral describes it as "partial 16S ribosomal RNA". It matches the Rfam family "Bacterial small subunit ribosomal RNA", at positions 509 to 807 of the family's 1533-position model. The record is from RNAcentral.
CAGCCGCCGCGGUAAUACGGAGGGAGCUAGCGUUGUUCGGAAUUACUGGGCGUAAAGCGCACGUAGGCGGCUUUGUAAGUUAGAGGUGAAAGCCUGGAGCUCAACUCCAGAACUGCCUUUAAGACUGCAUCGCUUGAAUCCAGGAGAGGUGAGUGGAAUUCCGAGUGUAGAGGUGAAAUUCGUAGAUAUUCGGAAGAACACCAGUGGCGAAGGCGGCUCACUGGACUGGUAUUGACGCUGAGGUGCGAAAGCGUGGGGAGCAAACAGGAUUAGAUACCCCAGUAGUCCCUGUCUCUUAUAC